This 617-nucleotide ribosomal RNA is filed under the name Bacillus nakamurai. RNAcentral's name for it is "bacterial SSU rRNA". It matches the Rfam family "Bacterial small subunit ribosomal RNA", at positions 760 to 1377 of the family's 1533-position model. Lineage: Bacteria; Bacillati; Bacillota; Bacilli; Caryophanales; Bacillaceae. The record is from RNAcentral.
CGUGGGGAGCGAACAGGAUUAGAUACCCUGGUAGUCCACGCCGUAAACGAUGAGUGCUAAGUGUUAGGGGGUUUCCGCCCCUUAGUGCUGCAGCUAACGCAUUAAGCACUCCGCCUGGGGAGUACGGUCGCAAGACUGAAACUCAAAGGAAUUGACGGGGGCCCGCACAAGCGGUGGAGCAUGUGGUUUAAUUCGAAGCAACGCGAAGAACCUUACCAGGUCUUGACAUCCUCUGACAAUCCUAGAGAUAGGACGUCCCCUUCGGGGGCAGAGUGACAGGUGGUGCAUGGUUGUCGUCAGCUCGUGUCGUGAGAUGUUGGGUUAAGUCCCGCAACGAGCGCAACCCUUGAUCUUAGUUGCCAGCAUUCAGUUGGGCACUCUAAGGUGACUGCCGGUGACAAACCGGAGGAAGGUGGGGAUGACGUCAAAUCAUCAUGCCCCUUAUGACCUGGGCUACACACGUGCUACAAUGGACAGAACAAAGGGCAGCGAAACCGCGAGGUUAAGCCAAUCCCACAAAUCUGUUCUCAGUUCGGAUCGCAGUCUGCAACUCGACUGCGUGAAGCUGGAAUCGCUAGUAAUCGCGGAUCAACAUGCCGCGGUGAAUACGUUCCCGG